This 460-nucleotide ribosomal RNA is filed under the name uncultured bacterium. RNAcentral describes it as "partial 16S ribosomal RNA". It matches the Rfam family "Bacterial small subunit ribosomal RNA", at positions 338 to 795 of the family's 1533-position model. The record is from RNAcentral.
CCUACGUGAGGCAGCAGUGAGGAAUAUUGGUCAAUGGGCGGGAGCCUGAACCAGCCAAGUCGCGUGAGGGAAGACGGUCCUACGGAUUGUAAACCUCUUUUGCCGGGGAGCAACGGGGUCCUUGCGAGGGCCCGAUGAGAGUACCCGGAGAAAAAGCAUCGGCUAACUCCGUGCCAGCAGCCGCGGUAAUACGGAGGAUGCGAGCGUUAUCCGGAUUUAGUGGGUUUAAAGGGUGCGUAGGCGGGCUGUUAAGUCAGCGGUCAAAUGUCGGGGCUCAACCCCGGCCUGCCGUUGAAACUGGCGGCCUCGAGUGGGCGAGAAGUAGGCGGAAUGGAUGGUGUAGCGGUGAAAUGCAUAGAGAUCAUACAGAACACCGAUUGCGAAGGCAGCUUACCAAACUACGACUGACGUUGAGGCACGAAAGCGUGGGGAGCAAACAGGAUUAGAUACCCUUGUAGUC